Molecule: transfer RNA, 76 nt
Filed under: Mycobacterium sp. 1245805.9
Lineage: Bacteria; Bacillati; Actinomycetota; Actinomycetes; Mycobacteriales; Mycobacteriaceae
Description: tRNA-Ala
Rfam family: tRNA
About the family: Transfer RNA (tRNA) molecules are approximately 80 nucleotides in length. Their secondary structure includes four short double-helical elements and three loops (D, anti-codon, and T loops).
Source: RNAcentral
GGGGCCUUAGCUCAGUUGGUAGAGCACCGCCUUUGCAAGGCGGGUGUCAGGGGUUCGAUUCCCCUAGGCUCCACCC